This 163-nucleotide ribosomal RNA is filed under the name Garcinia rostrata. RNAcentral's name for it is "5.8S ribosomal RNA". It matches the Rfam family "5.8S ribosomal RNA". Rfam says of the family: 5.8S ribosomal RNA (5.8S rRNA) is a component of the large subunit of the eukaryotic ribosome. It is transcribed by RNA polymerase I as part of the 45S precursor that also contains 18S and 28S rRNA. Functionally, it is thought that 5.8S rRNA may be involved in ribosome translocation. The record is from RNAcentral. Lineage: Eukaryota; Viridiplantae; Streptophyta; Magnoliopsida; Malpighiales; Clusiaceae. RNAcentral also lists the same sequence under 3 other names.
AAAUGACUCUCGGCAACGGAUAUCUCGGCUCUUGCAUCGAUGAAGAACGUAGCGAAAUGCGAUACGUGGUGUGAAUUGCAGAAUCCCGUGAACCAUCGAGUUUUUGAACGCAAGUUGCGCCCAAAGCCUUUUGGUUGAGGGCACGUCUGCCUGGGUGUCACAC